This 65-nucleotide transfer RNA is filed under the name Terrapotamon thungwa. RNAcentral describes it as "tRNA-His". Lineage: Eukaryota; Metazoa; Arthropoda; Malacostraca; Decapoda; Potamidae. The record is from RNAcentral.
AUUUAGGUAGUUUAAGAGAAAAUAUUGAUUUGUGGUGUCAAAGAAAUAUAAAUAUAUUCUAAAUA